RNAcentral lists this ribosomal RNA (249 nucleotides) under Acantharctus posteli. Its description in RNAcentral is "partial 12S ribosomal RNA". The record is from RNAcentral. Lineage: Eukaryota; Metazoa; Arthropoda; Malacostraca; Decapoda; Scyllaridae.
UAUAAACGAUAAGCCUCGUAAUAUCUUUCUUGUUCUUGUUGGAGUUAGUAUACCGUCAUUAUUAGAUAAUUUUGUUAAAAAAAUUAUUAUAAUUAAGUGGUUGUUAAGUAUAUUAGAUCAUGGUGCUGCUGAUGGGCAAGUUUUAAAUGGGUUACAAUAAGUUUAAUUUAUCACGAAUUUAUAGGUGAAAUGCUAUAUUGAAGGUGGAUUUAAUAGUAAUAUAAAUUUAAUAUGUUUGUAUGAGAUUAG